Molecule: transfer RNA, 98 nt
Filed under: Fonsecaea multimorphosa CBS 102226
Lineage: Eukaryota; Fungi; Ascomycota; Eurotiomycetes; Chaetothyriales; Herpotrichiellaceae
Rfam family: tRNA
About the family: Transfer RNA (tRNA) molecules are approximately 80 nucleotides in length.
Source: Rfam by way of RNAcentral
GGUGGCGUGGCCUAAUGGUAAGGCGUUGCUUUCCGGUUACAUUCUGAUGUUCCCAAGGGGACUGGCAAAGACUGUGGGUUCGAGUCCCAUCGCCAUCG